UCCGCCCGGGUAAUACGAGCAUUAGCUUAAAACCCAAAGGACUUGGCGGUGCUUUAGACCCCCCUAGAGGAGCCUGUUCUAGAACUGAUAACCCCCGUUAAACCUCACCACCCCUUGUUUUACCCGCCUAUAUACCACCGUCGUCAGCUUACCCUGUGAAGGUAACGUAGUGAGCACAAAUGGCAAAGCCAUAAACGUCAGGUCGAGGUGUAGCGAAUGGGGUGGUAAGAAAUGGGCUACAUUCUCUAUUG
RNAcentral lists this ribosomal RNA (251 nucleotides) under Gaidropsarus mediterraneus (shore rockling). RNAcentral's name for it is "partial 12S ribosomal RNA". It matches the Rfam family "Bacterial small subunit ribosomal RNA", at positions 868 to 1239 of the family's 1533-position model. The record is from RNAcentral. Lineage: Eukaryota; Metazoa; Chordata; Actinopteri; Gadiformes; Gaidropsaridae.